AUUGAACGCUGGCGGCAUGCUUUACACAUGCAAGUCGAACGGGCUGGGGGCAACUCCAGUCAGUGGCGAACGGGUGAGUAAUACAUCGGAACGUACCUCGUAGUGGGGGAUAACUCGGCGAAAGCCGUGCUAAUACCGCAUAUGCUCUACGGAGGAAAGCAGGGGACCGUAACAGGCCUUGUGCUAUGGGAGCGGCCGAUGUCCGAUUAGCUAGUUGGUGGGGUAAUGGCUCACCAAGGCGACGAUCGGUAGCUGGUCUGAGAGGAUGAUCAGCCACACUGGGACUGAGACACGGCCCAGACUCCUACGGGAGCAGCAGUGGGGAAUUUGGACAAUGGGGGCAACCCUGAUCCAGCCAUGCCGCGUGCGGGAAGAAGGCCUGGUGUAACG
This 390-nucleotide ribosomal RNA is filed under the name uncultured bacterium. Its description in RNAcentral is "bacterial SSU rRNA". It matches the Rfam family "Bacterial small subunit ribosomal RNA", at positions 30 to 430 of the family's 1533-position model. The record is from RNAcentral.